Hucho hucho (huchen) is the source of this 164-nucleotide small nuclear RNA. Its record names the gene U1. It matches the Rfam family "U1 spliceosomal RNA". Rfam says of the family: U1 is a small nuclear RNA (snRNA) component of the spliceosome (involved in pre-mRNA splicing). NCBI's taxonomy places the organism in Eukaryota, Metazoa, Chordata, Actinopteri, Salmoniformes, Salmonidae. The record is from Ensembl.
AUACUUACCUGGCAAGGGAGAUACCGUGAUCAAGAAUGCUAUUCAACCAGAGCGAGGCUCAGCCAUUGCACUCCGGCUGCGCUGACCCCUGUGAAUUUCCCAAAUGUGGAAAUCUCAAUUGCAGAAUUUCUGGUAGUGGGGGACUGCGUUCGCACUCUCCCCUG